GAUGAAGAACGCAGCGAAAUGCGAUAAGUAAUGUGAAUUGCAGAAUUCAGUGAAUCAUCGAAUCUUUGAACGCACAUUACGCCCCCUGGUAUUCCGGGGGGCAUGCCUGUUCGAGCGUCAUUUCACCACUCAAGCCUCGCUUGGUAUUGGGCAACGCGGUCCGCCGCGUGCCUCAAAUCGACCGGCUGGGUCUUCUGUCCCCUAAGCGUUGUGGAAACUAUUCGCUAAAGGGUGUUCGGGAGGCUACGCCGUAAAACAACCCCAUUUCUAAGGUUGACCUCGGAUCAGGUAGGGAUACCCGCUGAACUUAAGCAUAUCAAUAAGCGGAGGA
This 331-nucleotide unclassified non-coding RNA is filed under the name soil metagenome. RNAcentral's name for it is "partial contains 5.8S ribosomal RNA, internal transcribed spacer 2, and large subunit ribosomal RNA". The stretch from base 1 to 120 matches the Rfam family "5.8S ribosomal RNA", at positions 35 to 154 of the family's 154-position model. The record is from RNAcentral.